AGCGAACGCUGGCGGCGUGCUUAACACAUGCAAGUCGAACGUGAAAUGUAGCAAUACAGAGUAAAGUGGCGUACGGGUGAGUAACACGUGGGUAAUCUACCAAAGAGCCUGGAAUAACCGACCGAAAGGUUGGCUAAUACUGGAUAGUUCAAAUGAAAUAUAAUGUUUCGAUUGGGAAAGGGAGCGAGCAAUCGCCUUCACUUUUUGAUGAGCCCGCGUCUGAUUAGCUAGUUGGUAGGGUAAUGGCCUACCAAGGCGACGAUCAGUAGCUGGUCUGGGAGGAUGAUCAGCCACACUGGAACUGAAACACGGGCCAGACUCCUACGGGAGGCAGCAGUGGGGAAUCUUGCGCAAUGGACGAAAGUCUGACGCAGCCACGCCGCGUGAGUGAAGAAGGCCUUCGGGUUGUAAAGCUCUGUCGGAAGGGACAAAAACGUUUAAGGUUAAUAGCCUUAGAUCUUGAUGGUACCUUCAAAGGAAGCACCGGCUAACUUUGUGCCAGCCGCCGCCGUAA
Molecule: ribosomal RNA, 514 nt
Filed under: uncultured bacterium
Lineage: Bacteria
Description: partial 16S ribosomal RNA
Rfam family: Bacterial small subunit ribosomal RNA
Source: RNAcentral